UGAGUCGGCCGGGCGGCCGCGUCAGGACCUCGGUCCUGCCGAGGAACGUCCGGGCUCCACAGGGCAGGGUGGUGGCCAACAGCCACCCGGGGUGACCCGCGGGACAGUGCCACAGAAAGCAGACCGCCAGCCUUGGCUGGUAAGGGUGAAACGGUGGUGUAAGAGACCACCAGCGCCCCAGGCGACUGGGGCGGCUCGGUAAACCCCACCCGGAGCAAGCCCAGACAGCGCACGUUCGAGACCGGCCCGGUCGAGUGCGCGGGUAGGGCGCUGGAGCCGGUCAGCAAUGACCGGCCGAGAUGGAUGGCCGCCACCGCACCACCCGGUAACGGAGGUGCGGCACAGGACCCGGCGUACAGGCCGACUCAUCCA
Molecule: RNase P RNA, 372 nt
Filed under: Intrasporangium chromatireducens Q5-1
Lineage: Bacteria; Bacillati; Actinomycetota; Actinomycetes; Micrococcales; Intrasporangiaceae
Description: Intrasporangium sp. Q5-1 Bacterial RNase P class A
Rfam family: Bacterial RNase P class A
About the family: Ribonuclease P (RNase P) is a ubiquitous endoribonuclease, found in archaea, bacteria and eukarya as well as chloroplasts and mitochondria. Its best characterised activity is the generation of mature 5'-ends of tRNAs by cleaving the 5'-leader elements of precursor-tRNAs. Cellular RNase Ps are ribonucleoproteins.
Source: Rfam by way of RNAcentral